Long non-coding RNA from Anneissia japonica, 897 nucleotides. RefSeq lists it as uncharacterized. The transcript is spliced from 2 exons. The record is from RefSeq and is a predicted model, not a curated record. NCBI's taxonomy places the organism in Eukaryota, Metazoa, Echinodermata, Crinoidea, Comatulida, Comatulidae.
UGUAAAUCAUAUUCCAACUCUACCAAACGAUGUAACCUUUGUAUAAAAGAUAAGUAUAUUUUAUUAUAUGUCAACCCGAAAUUUGAACUCUAAAUCAAAGGAACAAAUUAUUCAGUUCAUGUAGACAUUGACGCAAGUUCUUGUUACGGUAUACUACUUAAUCCUGUUGGCUUUCAUUUAUCCAUCUAAACAAUAGAGACUUAAUCACUUGGUAAUUAACAUACUUUUGUUCUGAUAAACUGUCACAAUCUAUGUACUUCAUUAUUCCUUCACUCAGAGCCUAGCGCAACCAAAAUGGGUGGGAUAAUGAGGGAAGAAUAAUGUAGCGAAAUUUUGAGCCAAUCAUAAGUCAUUACAAGACGUUCCUGUUUUUGUUGGACUACUGCUUUGAGCAUUGGUCUUCGAGCAUCGUUUUAUCCAUCAUGGUUAAACAGUGGUCUGUUAAACGGUCGCACAGAAGACUCACGAACAAGGUAGGGAUGUGUAUUGUUGUGUAUGAGUUAUUUAAUAAAGUGCAACUUUCGGCACGUUCGCAAAUGUACUGUAUUUUGUUAGAAACAUUAAUGAAGAAAGUUAGAACAAUAAUAAUAACAACAAUUAAUAAUAUUGCUCUCAAUAUCAUUACUACUGUAUUAUUAUUUAUGUAAUUAACAGUACUGUCAUUAAUUCUGUUAUUGCUAAACUAAUAUUUUUAAUGUUAAUGAUAUAAGUAUUGUCAUUGUCAAUCAUACUAAGUAGUAUGCGAAUACAGCAAAGAAUAUUAGCUAAGACUACUACAUAUCACAACAAUAUAAAUUCUAACAAAAUCUUUUCAACCGUUCAAAAUCAGGCAGUCAAUCUGACAGUAAUUGUAUAGUACCAGGGUAUGCACUUCCUACCCAAAAAAAAAAAAUAUAA